UACAGAGCUUCUAUGUUCAGACGCUGUGCCUCUUCAGAUCUCCAUAACUCUGAACAACGCCUGUGUAACGUCUCCCAUUUUCGGCUACCAUCUCCAUUAAUCCAAGCAUUAACGUCUUUCCCAUCACUGCUCCUACUCUUUUCCAUUUAAAUGGCCUCAUCAUCCUCCAACCCUGGAGCUCCAUCUAUAAAUGUUUUCUUUUCCUGCGAUGAAUACCCUCACUGCUACAAAAUCCGAAAGGUCACACUGUUACAAAUUCCUAUACUCUUAUUACCGAUUUGAAGGUUGGUCGCUGUUCAAACAUCUGCUCAGGUCCGGCUUAAGGUUCUGGGAGGCAAGGAAUGUCAAGAAAGGCGGCGAGCUGAUGGUGUCGACAUGCUACUCCUGGACGAGAAGGCUCUCCGUUGUAAAGAAGUGAUGGUCACAUGUCUGCUACGCUUUUGGGUGGCCAGGGACCUGAAGAAAAGCGGCAAGCUUAUAUGGUUUUAGUAGACGGAAAAGGAUCCAUCGCCGCACACACAGAUGGUACUCGGAGAAGCUCGUGAAAUGACAGUGGGGUAAAGAAGACUGUGUUUCUGAGUGGAACAAUUACAUAGACCCUCACGGUAACUCACUACUCUACUUCUGUCUUUUAACUCUAUUCAUGUUUAUUGUUUUGUCUGAUGUUCCUAAUCAAUUCACAAGUUCUCUCUCUGAGUUUCGUUUUUCUCGGUUCUCAUAUAUUCAAACAAGAGGAGUUUUAUGGAAAACUUCUCACUCGAAUUUUGGAGGUUGCUGGUGAGCUGAAUCCAUCCAACUAAACAAUCUGAUGCAAAAGAAUCCAGUUGAUACUUGAUCCUUAAUGUUUCUCAAUAACAUUCUCUUUGAAACAUAUCCAUUGAGCAACUUUUCAUAUAUAGGAAAGCAUCUGAAAAUCUAUUACAUAAGAAGGCAAUCAAAGUACAAGGAGAAUGGUGUAUUCUUUAUUUGAAAACCUUCCUCAUCUUCCUCAAGCUAGGUAUGA
This is a long non-coding RNA of Brassica oleracea var. oleracea, 1003 nucleotides long. RefSeq lists it as uncharacterized. The transcript is spliced from 4 exons. The record is from RefSeq and is a predicted model, not a curated record. Lineage: Eukaryota; Viridiplantae; Streptophyta; Magnoliopsida; Brassicales; Brassicaceae.